CAAGCCACGGUUUAUUAGAAAAACACCAUUUUUUUAAGAGGGUUUUUUCAGCUGAAGCCAACGUCUUCUCUCUCCAGUGCCAUUACCUCCUCAAACACCCUACUGGUAAGUAAAAAAAAAUAAAAUUAUAACAGGAGCUGACUGCUAUGAUCUCCAACUGAAAUAGAUUGAUAUCAGUUAACUCUACUGAAAUAACCGAUUUUAAAAUCCAUAUUAGAACACCAUUGUGUUUAUUUCCUGCAAUGAAUACUACUUAUUUACAUUUACACUAGUAAUCCACUUUACAUCCUCAAUGUCAGCAGUUUAAAACCACCAAUUAGUAUACAAUUACUUUAUAUUUAAGGCAUGUAAGUAAGAGCACCCUAAUUAACUGACAUUGAAUGGAAAAGACUUCUCUUCAGGAAAUUUUUGUCAGCUGCCUUCUCUUCUUUAAAGAUGCUAAAUUAAUAUGGUUUUGGAAAGACAGUAAGAAGGAGAAAGGAAGAAAGUUAAGAACCGAUCUGAUUAUUUCAGCUGCCUCUGGAACAAUUUUGAAAGCAAUGAUUUAUCAGUAAUACCUCAUCUAUAAUGUAUUCUGACCAAGUCACAUAAUAUGCCAGUUGGGCUUAUCACUAGAUGAAAACUAAAAAAAAAAAAAAAAAAGAAGAAAA
Long non-coding RNA from Gavia stellata (red-throated loon), 650 nucleotides. RefSeq lists it as uncharacterized. The transcript is spliced from 2 exons. NCBI's taxonomy places the organism in Eukaryota, Metazoa, Chordata, Aves, Gaviiformes, Gaviidae. The record is from RefSeq and is a predicted model, not a curated record.